GAUGAACGCUGGCGGCGUGCCUAACACAUGCAAGUCGAGCGAUUCUCUUCGGAGAAGAGCGGCGGACGGGUGAGUAACGCGUGGGUAACCUGCCCUGUACACACGGAUAACAUACCGAAAGGUAUGCUAAUACGAGAUAAUAUACUUUUAUCGCAUGGUAGAAGUAUCAAAGCUUUUGCGGUACAGGAUGGACCCGCGUCUGAUUAGCUAGUUGGUAAGGUAACGGCUUACCAAGGCGACGAUCAGUAGCCGACCUGAGAGGGUGAUCGGCCACAUUGGAACUGAGACACGGUCCAAACUCCUACGGGAGGCAGCAGUGGGGAAUAUUGCACAAUGGGCGAAAGCCUGAUGCAGCAACGCCGCGUGAGCGAUGAAGGCCUUCGGGUCGUAAAGCUCUGUCCUCAAGAAGAUAAUGACGGUACUUGAGGAGGAAGCCCGGCAACUACGUGCCAGCAGCCGCGGUAA
Molecule: ribosomal RNA, 465 nt
Filed under: uncultured bacterium
Lineage: Bacteria
Description: bacterial SSU rRNA
Rfam family: Bacterial small subunit ribosomal RNA
Source: RNAcentral